Molecule: unclassified non-coding RNA, 343 nt
Filed under: uncultured Bartonella sp.
Lineage: Bacteria; Pseudomonadati; Pseudomonadota; Alphaproteobacteria; Hyphomicrobiales; Bartonellaceae
Description: partial 16S-23S ribosomal RNA intergenic spacer
Rfam family: tRNA (bases 124-197)
Source: RNAcentral
UCUUCAGAUGAUGAUCCCAAGCCUUCUGGCGCUUGCAGGAACUUAUCCGAAUUUGUUUUUUCGGGAAGGAACUUUUCUAUUUUAUAAGUAUAUGCUGGAGAAGGUUAUCUGGUUUGCCCCGGAGGGCUUGUAGCUCAGUUGGUUAGAGCGCGCGCUUGAUAAGCGCGAGGUCGGAGGUUCAAGUCCUCCCAGGCCCACCAUUUAUAAGUGCUUAUGACGGUUUUUUGUAUAGGGGUUUGUAUUUUUUAUUGAGAAUACAUCUUUUAUGGUUUUAUGCCCUUAGCUAUUAUGGGGCCGUAGCUCAGCUGGGAGAGCACCUGCUUUGCAAGCAGGGGGUCGUCGG